UACGGAGGGUGCAAGCGUUAUCCGGAUUCACUGGGUUUAAAGGGUGCGUAGGUGGGUUGGUAAGUCAGUGGUGAAAUCUCCGUGCUUAACAUGGAAACUGCCAUUGAUACUACUGAUCUUGAAUUUUCAGGAGGUAAGCGGAAUAUGUCAUGUAGCGGUGAAAUGCUUAGAUAUGACAUAGAACACCGAUUGCGAAGGCAGCUAACUACAGGGUUAUUGACACUGAGGCUCGAAAGCGUGGGGAUCAAACAGG
Molecule: ribosomal RNA, 253 nt
Filed under: uncultured bacterium
Lineage: Bacteria
Description: partial 16S ribosomal RNA
Rfam family: Bacterial small subunit ribosomal RNA
Source: RNAcentral